This is a non-coding RNA of Danio rerio (zebrafish), 1294 nucleotides long. The record is from RefSeq and is a predicted model, not a curated record. Lineage: Eukaryota; Metazoa; Chordata; Actinopteri; Cypriniformes; Danionidae.
AUUGAUUCAAAUGUGGUCUAAUUUAAAUUUUUAAAAUUUAAGACAUUUUGCCAUACCAAUCUGGACGUGGUUUCUGUAGAAUGACUAAUCGUCCACUCACGUGAUCACAUAAAGGCGCCGCGAUGAGGAACAGAUAAGGGCGGAGGGACAUCGGAGCUCACAGUUUAUCGACGCCCGCAUGACGCGGACACACAAGCAACCGAUUUAAAUGUCGUCAAAUUGUUACUGCUGCUACUGUAUAUUCACCAGGCCCAUAUAUGUUUUGUAAGCUAAAGUGGUACAGGACAGGAGUCCGGUUUUUUUAAGUUUACCUGUGCUGCGGUAAAUGGGUGGGUCUGUUUUUGUGCUUGGGAACAUUGGCGCCUUCAGCUCUCUUUACUCCUCUGUAUAAAGCUGGGGAUCUACAUCAUUGAAUUCCAGUUUUGGUUUUGACUGUUUUCCACCUUUGACGUCAAAAUUUUCAGCAUGUCUGUACCUGCCAUGAGUCCUCUGGAUAAAUAUGGUGGUGUGUCUCGACAACCGGAUGCAUGUGCUGAUGUCACAUGUCAGUUUGGCAGCUGUGUGUUGGUGCAUGAAGAGCCUGUGUGUGAGUGUAGGCUGGGAUAUACUGGGAAAACCUGUCAGGAAACAAUCAAUGAUUCUUUGGCGGUCCCGCUCACCCUUGGUGUCCUGACUGUCAUAAUUGUCUCCAUUGUCCUGUUCUUUGCUGUUGCUAUUUUCCGUCAAAAGAAAAAAGCAAAAAAGAGAAAGAUGGCGUUUGAAGAAGCCUUAAGAAAUGGAGAGCAUCUUUAACAUAUCUUAAUGCAACAUGCAAUAGAAAAGUACAGUCAACACAUCACUUGCACGUCACUUGAAAGAACAUUCCAGCAUGACAUUAGUUUUCUAUUCAUUGUGCCUGAAUUCAAGCUGUGCUGUUGUUAGAAGAAUGGGAGUGUCACUGAAGAAUGGGAAUGUACUCCAUGUUUAAACAAACUAUAUUAAGGGGCACCUGUUUUGCCCUUUUUCAAGAUUUAAGAUAAGUCUUUUGUGUCUCCAGAAUGUGUCUAUAAAGCUUCAGCUCAAAAUACUCAUCAUAUUAUUUAUUAUACCUUCUGAACAUGGGGAUGUUCAGCUCUAAACACACUGUAGCAGUUUUCAUUGCCUGUGCCUGUGGUUCUCCUUGCCCGCCCAUACCUCUUGCAUGUCAGAGCCAUAGAGAUCUCUCUGUAUUGCACUGACACAUGUAGCCUUCAUGUAGAUAAACGGUACAGUGACAGACAAGAAUGACUUUAUUACAAACAUGUCUUAAAAAAUU